GAGAAGAAGGGAUAGAAAAAGAGAGAAGAGACAGGAAAAAAGAAGGAAGAAAAAAAAUGGUGAGAGAGAGUGUGAGAGGAUCUCGGAGAGUGAGAGGAUCCCUGAGAGGGAGACGAAGGAGAAAGAACCCAUGAGUGGGUGAAUAAGAUGAAUAUGAAAGAGAAAGAUGUAGAGCUCCAACAAGAAAAAGAGGAAAAACUCAAAACAAAACUAUGACACUCUAAUCUCUUAUGUAAUUUCUCUAAGUAAAAAGACGAGAGACUCGUUAGGAGGACCAUCAUUGUGGAGAGAAGUUCAAGUAAUGGUUUGAGAUGAUGUUCGAGAAAUAAUGAAAACAAUUAUUUGAUAUUUUUAUUAUUUUUAAAAAUAUUGAUAAUUUUUACUUCAUGAGUCUUAUAUCUACUUUUUUUUUUUUAAAUUUUAAAAAAGAAUAUUUUUUUGUUUGUUUUAGAAAGAUGAUAAAUACCACUAUAACUAAUUUGCACAACCGUGAAAUUUUGAAUUCAACUGAGAUAUGACGUACAACCUAACAGUCUUGAUAUUUUUCAGUUGAGCUAAACUUAAGGACCUUACUUCUAGUUUAUUAACGAGUAAAAUUAACACAAAUUUUAUGAAAUAAAAAUAGAAAAUAUUUUUACAAAAUAAAAAAAAAAUAGAAAAUGCAUUAUUGUAAAAUAUCAUAUUAGCAUACAAGUUUUAUAAUUUUAAAUUUUGAACCUAUCAGCCCAAGCUCAAAAGGCCCAAGCUCAAAGCUUCAAACUAAAUUAUUUAAAUAAACAUCACCAUUGACACACAAAAAUUCACUUAAAACUAAACACAGCAUUUGACUUUAUUCUUUUUAAAUUAGAUUUGAUCCUCCUCACUCCCAACUGUAUAUCUAUUAUUUUUACUUUCUCUUGUUAAAAAUUUUUGGAUCCGUUUUUCACCAACUAAAUUUUUGGUAGGAAAAAAAAACUGCUUUUGAUAAAUAUAAAGUUGAGAAAAAAUUUUGCAUACUAAAUUUUUUCGUUUCAAAAUUUUAAAGGAAUAAAUAGAUUUCGAAAUUCCAAGUAAGCAAAAAGAAAGUUGAAAAAAAUUUUGUUUUGCAAAAUUUCUCGUUUUUGAAAUUUCUAGUAGGAAAAAAAAAGUCGAAAAAAAAUUCAUUUUUCUGACUGACGGUGGAUAUUUUUUUGGUAGAAAAAUUCAACUUUGAAUUUUUCGAUAAUUAUUUUGUUAAUCAUAAAAUUUUAAAUUGAAAUUUCUGUAUAUCAGAGGAAAAAACUAAU
Cicer arietinum (chickpea) is the source of this 1265-nucleotide long non-coding RNA. RefSeq lists it as uncharacterized. NCBI's taxonomy places the organism in Eukaryota, Viridiplantae, Streptophyta, Magnoliopsida, Fabales, Fabaceae. The record is from RefSeq and is a predicted model, not a curated record.